This 264-nucleotide ribosomal RNA is filed under the name uncultured bacterium. Its description in RNAcentral is "partial 16S ribosomal RNA". It matches the Rfam family "Bacterial small subunit ribosomal RNA", at positions 793 to 1055 of the family's 1533-position model. The record is from RNAcentral.
GUCCACGCCGUAAACGAUGAACACUAGGUGUGGGGGUAUCGACCCCCUCCGUGCCGAAGCUAACGCAAUAAGUGUUCCGCCUGGGGAGUACGGCCGCAAGGCUAAAACUCAAAGGAAUUGACGGGGGCCCGCACAAGCAGCGGAGCGUGCGGUUUAAUUCGUCGCAACGCGAAGAACCUUACCAGGGCUUGACAUGCCGGUGGUACCAACCUGAAAGGGAAGGGACCCUUCGGGGAGCCGGCACAGGUGCUGCAUGGCUGUCGU